GGUUAAGCGACUAAGCGUACACGGUGGAUGCCCUGGCAGUCAGAGGCGAUGAAGGACGUGCUAAUCUGCGAUAAGCGUCGGUAAGGUGAUAUGAACCGUUAUAACCGGCGAUUUCCGAAUGGGGAAACCCAGUGUGUUUCGACACACUAUCAUUAACUGAAUCCAUAGGUUAAUGAGGCGAACCGGGGGAACUGAAACAUCUAAGUACCCCGAGGAAAAGAAAUCAACCGAGAUUCCCCCAGUAGCGGCGAGCGAACGGGGAGCAGCCCAGAGCCUGAAUCAGUGUGUGUGUUAGUGGAAGCGUCUGGAAAGGCGCGCGAUACAGGGUGACAGCCCCGUACACAAAAAUGCACAUGCUGUGAGCUCGAUGAGUAGGGCGGGACACGUGGUAUCCUGUCUGAAUAUGGGGGGACCAUCCUCCAAGGCUAAAUACUCCUGACUGACCGAUAGUGAACCAGUACCGUGAGGGAAAGGCGAAAAGAACCCCGGCGAGGGGAGUGAAAAAGAACCUGAAACCGUGUACGUACAAGCAGUGGGAGCACGCUUAGGCGUGUGACUGCGUACCUUUUGUAUAAUGGGUCAGCGACUUAUAUUCUGUAGCAAGGUUAACCGAAUAGGGGAGCCGAAGGGAAACCGAGUCUUAACUGGGCGUUAAGUUGCAGGGUAUAGACCCGAAACCCGGUGAUCUAGCCAUGGGCAGGUUGAAGGUUGGGUAACACUAACUGGAGGACCGAACCGACUAAUGUUGAAAAAUUAGCGGAUGACUUGUGGCUGGGGGUGAAAGGCCAAUCAAACCGGGAGAUAGCUGGUUCUCCCCGAAAGCUAUUUAGGUAGCGCCUCGUGAAUUCAUCUCCGGGGGUAGAGCACUGUUUCGGCAAGGGGGUCAUCCCGACUUACCAACCCGAUGCAAACUGCGAAUACCGGAGAAUGUUAUCACGGGAGACACACGGCGGGUGCUAACGUCCGUCGUGAAGAGGGAAACAACCCAGACCGCCAGCUAAGGUCCCAAAGUCAUGGUUAAGUGGGAAACGAUGUGGGAAGGCCCAGACAGCCAGGAUGUUGGCUUAGAAGCAGCCAUCAUUUAAAGAAAGCGUAAUAGCUCACUGGUCGAGUCGGCCUGCGCGGAAGAUGUAACGGGGCUAAACCAUGCACCGAAGCUGCGGCAGCGACGCUUAUGCGUUGUUGGGUAGGGGAGCGUUCUGUAAGCCUGUGAAGGUGU
RNAcentral lists this ribosomal RNA (1219 nucleotides) under Escherichia coli. Its description in RNAcentral is "partial 23S ribosomal RNA". It matches the Rfam family "Bacterial large subunit ribosomal RNA", at positions 1 to 1259 of the family's 2925-position model. The record is from RNAcentral. Lineage: Bacteria; Pseudomonadati; Pseudomonadota; Gammaproteobacteria; Enterobacterales; Enterobacteriaceae.